ACUGAAUACAGACUGCAGUAACAUUUGGCAAAUAAAGAAGAAAGAAGAAGACGAAGAAAAAGACAAAUAAGAAGACGACAAAGAAGACAAAGUUGUUGGUUAGGUACGGGUCGUAAUCUCGAUCACGACAGUCAGAAGAGCAACUGCGUAAUCCCCACAGACAGAAUCCGAGCUGGAUCAUGAGAUUUGAUACAUGAAUGUGGUCAGUGUGACUUCCAUCCAGUAGACAGACAAAGCAACAUAUUCUUUGGGAGAAGAUUAGCCUCUUACCUCUUU
Pseudophryne corroboree (corroboree frog) is the source of this 276-nucleotide long non-coding RNA. RefSeq lists it as uncharacterized. NCBI's taxonomy places the organism in Eukaryota, Metazoa, Chordata, Amphibia, Anura, Myobatrachidae. The transcript is spliced from 3 exons. The record is from RefSeq and is a predicted model, not a curated record.